Long non-coding RNA from Hemicordylus capensis (graceful crag lizard), 614 nucleotides. RefSeq lists it as uncharacterized. The transcript has 3 exons. NCBI's taxonomy places the organism in Eukaryota, Metazoa, Chordata, Lepidosauria, Squamata, Cordylidae. The record is from RefSeq and is a predicted model, not a curated record.
GAGUAGGCCUCCCUGAAGCCUGAACCCGGCAGGCCCCAGCAAGCCAGGAAGGAGGCUGGCAGAGCUCCCUGCAGCAGACCCUCCAGCACAGCUUUUGCAAGCGGAUGAUAAAUUCAUAUCUUACACAGGCCUCCCCACAGACCUUCUUGGCUUUCUUAUGGCAAUGACUGUGGUAAUCAAUCAAGCUCCACUAAGAUGUAUAUUACACUGGCUUUGAAACAUUAUGCAGUUGUCUGUUCACGAUGCCAAGACUUUCUUCGUGCCAUUCUAGUCAACAGAGGAAGAAAGAGAGAGAGCUUUGACCCUGACUUAAGAAGAGACAAUGGAAACAGCACCCCGCAGCAAGUUAUCCUGUUGGAAGUGAAACUGAUAAGACCAGAAACUGUUUCCAAUCUGGUUUACUAAGCACUUGAUUGAGCUGAAUGGAAACAAGCGAAGAUGCUCUUUGCCACCCUGAAGUUUCUGCAGUUAUCCAACUACCAAAUGCUGGAUCAGAGCUCAUGGAGCAGCAGUGCUAAGAGAAAUGAUCUUAUCUACAUUGUCUUAGAAUUCAGUAGUCUGAUAGCUACUGUACAUUUCAGCUGUACAGUAAAGAUAAUAAAAGAUAGUUCACU